GACGAACGCUGGCGGCGUGCUUAACACAUGCAAGUCGAACGGAAAGGCCCUGCUUUUGUGGGUUGCUCGAGUGGCGAACGGGUGAGUAACACGCGAGUAACCUGCCCUUGUCUUUGGGAUAACUUCAGGAAACUGGGGCUAAUACCGGAUAGGAGCUCCUGCUGCAUGGUGGGGGUUGGAAAGUUUCGGCGGUUGGGGAUGGACUCGCGGCUUAUCAGCUUGUUGGUGGAGUAGUGGCUUACCAAGGCUUUGACGGGUAGCCGGCCUGAGAGGGUGACCGGCGACAAUGGGACUGAGAUACGCCCCAGACUCCUACGGGAGGCAGCAGUGGGGAAUAUUGCACAAUGGGCGGAAGCCUGAUGCAGCAACGCCGCGUGCGGGAUGACGGCCUUCGGGUUGUAAACCGCUGUGGCAUGUGACGAAGCGUGAGUGACGGUAAUGGGUAAGGAAGCAACGGCUAACUACGUG
Molecule: ribosomal RNA, 468 nt
Filed under: uncultured bacterium
Lineage: Bacteria
Description: partial 16S ribosomal RNA
Rfam family: Bacterial small subunit ribosomal RNA
Source: RNAcentral